AUGCCGGCGCGUUUUUGGGCGGAAGCCCUUGGCACUGCAACUCUCCUCCUCAACUACAAACCAUGCUCCACUUCCUCGCCACGGUCACCACAUGAACUGCUUCUUGGUACGGCCCCUGACUACUCCACUUUGCGCGUGUUUGGUUGCCUCUGCUACCCAAACACUUCUUCUACCUCGCGCCACAAACUCGAUCACCGGUUCGUAGCUUGCGUGUUCUUUGGAUAUCCACCAAAUCAUCGCGGUUAUCAUUGUUACGAUCCCCGCACCCGACGAGUUCUCACUUCCCGCCAUGUUCGCUUUCAUGAGACUCAAUUCCCCUUUGCUGCCGCUUCUGAUCCGCCCGCCAUCAGCGCUCCACCAGCUCCACGCUACGUCCCCGCGCCCCUGCAGGCUCCCGUAGCUGCUCCUACGCCGCCCUGUGACGCAAGCUCGCCUGACUCUGUUGAGUCCGGCCCUCCUGCCUUACACCAGCGCGCGGGCGCCCCUGGUUCAAGCUCGGCCACGCGAUCAUCAUCCAGCGGCUCCGCCUCUUCCUCAUCGGGCGCGACUCCUCCAGGUUUAAGCUGCGCCGCCGGAUCGGCAUCCAAUGGCUCUGCCUCGCCUUCAUCGCGCGCCACUCCUUCAAGUUUAAGCUGCACCGACGGAUCUGCAUCAGGCGGCCCUGAUUUAAAUCCGGCCGCUCCCGUGCAGCGCGCGGUCGUCCCCGCCAGCUCUUCUUCAUCCACAGCUGGCGGCUCGCGGAUCACCACGCACGCUCAGGCUGGUGUGUUCCGUCCGUACAUGCGCUACGCCGACGACUACGUCUGCGUCGCCUCCAUCAACACCUCGCCGGACGUCUCUCCGCUUCCCCGUUCCGUUCGCGAUGCUCUUCGCGAUCCGAACUGGGUCUCCGCCAUGCGCGAGGAGUUCGCUGCGCUCGUCAGCAACCGCACGUGGGAGCUGGUGCCCCGCCCUCCGCGCGCUAACAUCACCGGCAAAUGGGUUUUCAAGCACAAGACGCGCUCCGAUGGCUCCCUCGAGCGCUACAAAGCGCGGUGGGUCGUCCGCGGGUUUCGCCAGCGCGCCGGCGUCGACUACGGCGAGACUUUCUCCCCUGUCGUGAAGUCCGCGUCCAUUCGCACUGUGCUCACCCUCGCCGCCUCCCGUGGGUGGCCCGUUCGGCAACUCGACGUCAAGAACGCCUUCUUGCAUGGCACACUCCAGGAGGAAGUUUUCUGUCUGCAGCCUGCAGGUUUUGUCGACGCGAGCAAACCCGACCACGUCUGCCGGCUCACCAAGUCCCUCUACGGGCUCAAGCAAGCGCCGCGCGCAUGGUUCCUUCGCUUCGCCAGCUUCCUCGCCACCCUCGGCUUCACCACCACACGCUCGGACAGCUCCCUCUUCAUCCUCGCGUCCGGCGCCGACGCCGCCUAUCUACUGCUCUAUGUGGACGACAUCGUCCUCACGGCGAGCUCGGCUGCCUUCCUUCAAAGGAUCAUCGCCAAACUCACGCACGAGUUUUCCAUGAAGGACCUGGGAGCGCUCCACUACUUCCUUGGCAUACGGGUGACGCGCACCGCUGCUGGCUUCUUCCUCUCGCAGGCCCAGUACGCCGAGGACAUCCUCGAGCGUGCGGGCAUGGACACUUGCAAGGUUGCGCCUACACCAGUUGACACCAAGGCCAAGCUCCCGUCGUCCAACGGGCCCCGCGUCUCCGACCCCACCUCCUACAAAAGCCUCGCCGGAGCGCUGCAAUACCUCACCAUCACCCGUCCCGAGCUCGCCUACGCCGUCCAGCAAGUCCGCCUCCAUAUGCACGACCCGCGCGAGUGUCAUCGCGCUCUCCUCAAGCGCGUGCUCCGCUACGUCCGCGGCACGGUCACCCUCGGCCUCGCCCUGCGUGCUUCGUCGACUCUGGAGCUCCGUGCGUACACCGACGCGGACUGGGCUGGCUGCCCGGACACCCGCCGCUCUACUUCCGGCUUCUGCAUCUUCCUCGGCGACGCACUCGUGUCCUGGUCGCCCAAACGCCAGGCCACCGUCUCGCGCUCUAGCGCGGAGGCCGAAUAUCGUGCCGACGCCAAUGCCGACGCGGAGUGUGUCUGGCAGCGCCAACUUCUUCGCGAGCUUCAUUGCACCGUCAACACGGCGUCGCUCGUCUACUGCGACAACAUCUCGGCGGUGUAUCUCUCCAGCAACCCCGUGCAUCACCGGCGCACCAAGCACAUCGAAUUGGACAUUCAUUUCGUGCGCGAACGUGUGGCGCUUGGCAACUUCCGCGUCCUGCACGUUCCCACGCGCCAGCAGCUCGCCGACGUCAUGACGAAGGGGCUGCCCUCUGAUGUCUUCCACGACUUUCGUUCCAGCCUUUGCGUCUCGAGCAUCGACGCCAAGACUGCGGGGGUGGGGGGUGGGGGGGGGAUUGUUAGACUACUGUAUUCUGUACGUAUAAGGUAG
Molecule: ribosomal RNA, 2436 nt
Filed under: Triticum aestivum (bread wheat)
Lineage: Eukaryota; Viridiplantae; Streptophyta; Magnoliopsida; Poales; Poaceae
Description: partial small subunit ribosomal RNA
Source: RNAcentral